UUGAACGCUGGCGGCAGGCCUAACACCUGCAAGUCGAGCGGAUGAAGGGAGCUUGCUCCUGGAUUCAGCGGCGGACGGGUGAGUAAUGCCUAGGAAUCUGCCUGGUAGUGGGGGAUAACGUCCGGAAACGGGCGCUAAUACCGCAUACGUCCUGAGGGAGAAAGUGGGGGAUCUUCGGACCUCACGCUAUCAGAUGAGCCCAGGUCGGAUUAGCUAGUUGGUGGGGUAAAGGCCUACCAAGGCGACGAUCCGUAACUGGUCUGAGAGGAUGAUCAGUCACACUGGAACUGAGACACGGUCCAGACUCCUACGGGAGGCAGCAGUGGGGAAUAUUGGACAAUGGGCGAAAGCCUGAUCCAGCCAUGCCGCGUGUGUGAAGAAGGUCUUCGGAUUGUAAAGCACUUUAAGUUGGGAGGAAGGGCAGUAAGUUAAUACCUUGCUGUUUUGACGUUACCAACAGAAUAAGCACCGGCUAACUUCGUG
This 483-nucleotide ribosomal RNA is filed under the name uncultured bacterium. RNAcentral describes it as "partial 16S ribosomal RNA". It matches the Rfam family "Bacterial small subunit ribosomal RNA", at positions 30 to 507 of the family's 1533-position model. The record is from RNAcentral.